GGGGACGUCCUACGGUUUGGAGUGUGCUUGGAGAGAGAGGGAGAAGAAACCCUGCCUAGCAGGGCACUUUAUAGCGUCGCCUCAGUUCUUGCACAACGCGACCAUUGCAAGUGAGCGAGCGGAUUUUAGUCUAUAAUUAUACGGGCUGGAAACGGAUUUUCAUACGUCGUCAUGCUGUACAGCUUUUACAUCUACGGUCGAUGACACCUGCGUUUUUGUCUUGAAGUUUCGCCGAUCGCGAACAGUUGGGACUGCAUUCCUUCGCUCUGGAGUCCAGACCUGCAGCGUUUUUCAGAGUUAGUGAGAGAGCUAGAGAGAGAGGGGGUCCCCGUUCCUACCUGCUGUCUUUUACGUGUAACUUCUGAACUAUUCUCCAGCCCAGUCAAACAUUCUUCUGGCUGGCUCUGCCCAGUGUUGUCGUUUAUCGGAAACAUCGGAUAAUCACUAAUGAUAUCUGAGAAUCGAUUAGUUUUGAACUAGAAAGAUUCUGCAUUUAAGUUCUGCCCCAUUGGAUUGAAUGCCUUGUAUGCGGUGACUAUGGCUUUACAAUGGAUCCUCGUAGCCGCUUUGGCUGGAAUUCUUCUCACCGCCACUUCAGAAAUACAUGGGCAACUGCUGGACAUUCAUUCACUGAAGGACAUGAGAAAACCCUGUGGGUAGAAC
This is a long non-coding RNA of Oncorhynchus tshawytscha (Chinook salmon), 663 nucleotides long. Lineage: Eukaryota; Metazoa; Chordata; Actinopteri; Salmoniformes; Salmonidae. The record is from Ensembl.